GAUGAACGCUGACAGAAUGCUUAACACAUGCAAGUCGACCGGAAAGUCGGUGCGUGUGGCGGACGGGUGAGUAACGCGUGGGGAACUUGCCCCACAGAUAGGGACCACAUAUGGAAACGAAUCCUCAUAAAUGAUAUUAUAAUAAUAUGGCAUCGUAUAAUUAUGAAAGCGAUAUGCGCUGUGAGAGGGCUUUGGGUCCCAUUAGCUAGUUGGAGAGGUAACGGCUCACCAAGGCGAGGAUGGGUGGCUGGCCUGAGUGGGGGAUCGGCAACAAGGGGACGGAGUCAGGGCCAUUACUCCUACGGGAGGAAGAAGGGGGAAAUAUGGAAAAAGGGACGAAGAGUGUGAUACAACAGUUGUGUGUGCAAGAUGGAGUUUUUCGGAAUGUAAAGUGCUUUCAGUUGAGAAGAAGAAAAUGACGGUACCAAGAGAAGAAGUAACGGCUAAAUACGUG
This 454-nucleotide ribosomal RNA is filed under the name uncultured bacterium. RNAcentral describes it as "partial 16S ribosomal RNA". It matches the Rfam family "Bacterial small subunit ribosomal RNA", at positions 28 to 507 of the family's 1533-position model. The record is from RNAcentral.